Molecule: long non-coding RNA, 291 nt
Filed under: Panax ginseng (ginseng)
Lineage: Eukaryota; Viridiplantae; Streptophyta; Magnoliopsida; Apiales; Araliaceae
Description: long non-coding RNA (PGIN_LNC016781)
Source: RNAcentral
CGGCUAUAUCUUCUCUCUGCUUCAACAGAACCUCCAAGGCUUUAUCUGCUUCGUCCGCCAUCUUCGCCAACUUGGCGGCUCUAUCUUCCUGACCACUUCUACGAUAAGUCUUGGUCGGUGAGCCUUCCGCCUGCCCUUGACCAUGAUCACGCUCCUUAUCCGCACCGAAAACCAAUCUUCGUCUGGCCCCACCAUGGAUCUUCGGACGGAGAUCUCCUGAAUUAUGCUUAGAGGCCGUGCUCUCGUGAGCACUUUUAGAAGGACCCAGACGAUCCUUUACCGAAACACGAG